CACGUGUUUCCCUAUCAUCUCAGCUUUCCCCUUUCUCUUCUCUCUUCUUUAGUUGACGCGCCUCUCUUCUGCCCACUACAUCUCAAAAAAACUCCACACUUAUUUCUUCCCUUGGUUCUCUCUCGAUGGGGUUUGCUAUCCAUCUGAGUCGGAUCUCCUCUCUGGUGGUGGUUGAUAUAUCUCUCUGGAUUACGAUGUAUAUGUGGUCGGGUGCGUUCUGCUUGUCUCUGCGCUUUGGGUAGUUGGAGUUCAAAGUGCUGGGGUGGUGAUAGGUAAGGGUUUACAGAGAUGAGAUCCCAUUUUUGGGAGUGAAUUCUGAGAGAAGAGAAUAGAUGUCUUGAUCUCUGAGCGUGGUCAUCUCUGGCGCUGUGUCUCUGAAACCCUAGGUCUUCAAAUUCGAUCUCCACAAUCUAGUUUCUCAAGUAGUCAAAGUCAGAAAUUGAAAAGGCGAGUUGAACAUAGCCGAUUAGCCGAUUCGGAUGUUGGUGGAAAAUGGUUGAAAUGGCAAAGUCUAAAUUUGAGUCGUUUAAACAUGUCAUGGAUUGGACUCCUGGAUUUCCAACAAAGGUGUUAGUCCUGGAACAGUUCCAGUGUACCAUAGCACAAACUUGAAAUUGUUGGAUAAGAGGAUCAAGAUAGCUGAGUUGGUGUUAAGGUUUAUGAUUCUUGGUCUUGGAGUUGUUGCAGCUGUUCUUAUUGGAACUGAUUCACUGAUGUUAAGGCUUUGGUAUUCUUUGUAGUUGCUAAUGGUUUGGGCUGCUGGAUACUCUUUGAUUCAAGGACUUCGUUGUGUUGUGAGUUUGGUUAGGGAAAGUGUUCUCUUCAACAAGCCCUUAGCUUGGGCCAUUUUCUCUGCUGAUUAGAAUGACCCAAAUAAAACUCCAGCACUAUUACGCCACAAGAGAGGAUGUAACUGCAAGAAAUCAUUCUGCCAAAAGAAAUAUUGUAAAUGCUUUCAGCUGGUGUUGGAUGUUCCAUAAACUGUAGAUGUGACACGUGUAAGAGCACGUUUGGUAGAAAGGAUGGUUCUAAUUCUGUAGGAGUAGAAACCCAACCAGAAGUAGAAAUAGAGGCCUGUGGACUGUGGUAAAGAGUUUGUUGAAAAUGCAUAACAGAAAAUUGAAAUUCAGAACUCCCACAGAAUGUCUAGUUCAUUGAAUUUUCCGUUAGAGAGUAAGAUGUUUGGGACUCUUUGCUCUCAGCCACUUGAGCAUUCUCAAACUGUUUCACACCAUGAAACGACUGGAGGCAGAGGCAGAAGUGGAUAGGUCUCCAAUGACUUGGACCAAAACUACUACUCCAAAUGGGAAGAAAUUUUUAAUUGAUAGUCAAUAGUUAUUAGUUAGGUCUUUUUCCUUUUCAGUCAGAUUAGUAGUUUGUACCUUUAGGCAUAUAAAUGUCCUGGUUUAGUUAUAAGUAUUUUAGUUUUAGUGCGAUCUUUAGAUGUGUAUGAAAAAAUUAUAUUAUUUGAGCUGUAAUUAGUUUGCUUAGUUUUAUUUUACUCGAGUUAUUUCAGAAGAAAUUUUUUCGCUUUCAUAAUGGCAAUUGUGAGGUACUCAUCUUAAUCUCAAGUGAGCUGAGAAAGCUUGUGCCUUGGUUGCCAAAAUUCCAGGAAUGGUAGAAGCAUUGAAUUCAAAAAUUACAGAAUGGGAACAAGAGAUUGAGUUCAAAUAGGAUGAUAUAAGUACUCCCUCCUUAAUAUACUUGAUAUGUAUUCACUAAAAGAAGAAAAAAACUUGAUAUGCCGGUCUGCUCUCUAUGCUUGAAGAUUACACCAACGCCUGGCAAGAAAAAGAGCAAGAACCUCAUAAGCUGCGGGUCAGUGUAUAGGGUUCCAAGUCUGUCCUUCUGAUUCAUUGAUCUGAUAGUGGCGGUCAUGAAGAUCUUGGAUUAGAUAUCGGACGGUAGUAGGUGGAGACUAAUCUAAGGAAUAUGUUGUGCUCAGGAUUAGAAAAAGGAAAAGCCUCCCUUGAAGAGGUUGAGAAGGUCAUUGAAGCUCGAAUUUGAUGAAUCUGAUGAUGCUGAUCUUUUUAAGGAUGAAUCUGCAUCUGGUCAUGGGGUCAACUGACAUGAUUUUCUGUCAUUUAACUAGAGUUACGGAUCAAGACUUAUAUAAGGCAUUAGAUAUGGGUAGUGCAAAUAGUGUCCACCCUUUUUUGAUGUGUAAUGUGAAAUUUUUUGGUUGUGUUCAUGUAAUAGGAAUUGGUAUUUAAUAUUUGGUAUGUAAUGUUGUGUGUGUCUUAGGAUGUUUGAUGUUUUGUAUGUCCAUAUUUUGUAUUUUACUGGGCUUAUUGAUCAUGUAAUACAUCAAUUGUUAGGAU
Arachis duranensis is the source of this 2321-nucleotide long non-coding RNA. RefSeq lists it as uncharacterized. The record is from RefSeq and is a predicted model, not a curated record. The transcript has 13 exons. NCBI's taxonomy places the organism in Eukaryota, Viridiplantae, Streptophyta, Magnoliopsida, Fabales, Fabaceae.